AGAGUUUGAUCCUGGCUCAGGAUGAACGCUAGCGGCAGGCCUAAUACAUGCAAGUCGAGCGGCAAGUCGAGGAGUAAUCUAAGACCUAGAGCGGCGCACGGGUGCGUAACGCGUAUGUAACCUACCCUAUACAGGGGGAUAGCCCGGAGAAAUCUGGAUUAAUACCCCAUGGCACUGCGAAUCAGCAUUGGAUUGCAGUUAAAGAUUUAUCGGUAUAGGAUGGACAUGCGUCUGAUUAGCUAGUUGGCGGUGUAACGGACCACCAAGGCGACGAUCAGUAGGGGUUCUGAGAGGAAGGUCCCCCACACUGGCACUGAGAUACGGGCCAGACUCCUACGGGAGGCAGCAGUAGGGAAUAUUGGGCAAUGGACGAGAGUCUGACCCAGCCAUGCCGCGUGCAGGAAGAAGGCGUUCUGCGUUGUAAACUGCUUUUAUCUGGGAAGAAAAGGCCCAUGCGUGGGACAUUGCCGGUACCAGAUGAAUAAGCACCGGCUAACUCCGUGCCAGCAGCCGCGGUAAUACGGAGGGUGCAAGCGUUGUCCGGAUUUAUUGGGUUUAAAGGGUGCGUAGGCGGUUGAUUAAGUCAGCGGUGAAAGUUUUGGGCUCAACCCAGAAAUUGCCAUUGAUACUGGUCGACUUGAGUAUUGCAGGGGUACAUGGAAUUGAUGGUGUAGCGGUGAAAUGCAUAGAUACCAUCAGGAACACCGAUAGCGAAGGCAUUGUACUGGGCAACCACUGACGCUGAUGCACGAAAGCAUGGGGAGCGAACAGGAUUAGAUACCCUGGUAGUCC
This 792-nucleotide ribosomal RNA is filed under the name uncultured bacterium. RNAcentral describes it as "bacterial SSU rRNA". It matches the Rfam family "Bacterial small subunit ribosomal RNA", at positions 8 to 796 of the family's 1533-position model. The record is from RNAcentral.